This 527-nucleotide ribosomal RNA is filed under the name Alcaligenes sp. COB4. Its description in RNAcentral is "bacterial SSU rRNA". It matches the Rfam family "Bacterial small subunit ribosomal RNA", at positions 223 to 745 of the family's 1533-position model. RNAcentral also lists the same sequence under 1 other name. Lineage: Bacteria; Pseudomonadati; Pseudomonadota; Betaproteobacteria; Burkholderiales; Alcaligenaceae. The record is from RNAcentral.
GGAGCGGCCGAUAUCGGAUUAGCUAGUUGGUGGGGUAAAGGCUCACCAAGGCAACGAUCCGUAGCUGGUUUGAGAGGACGACCAGCCACACUGGGACUGAGACACGGCCCAGACUCCUACGGGAGGCAGCAGUGGGGAAUUUUGGACAAUGGGGGAAACCCUGAUCCAGCCAUCCCGCGUGUAUGAUGAAGGCCUUCGGGUUGUAAAGUACUUUUGGCAGAGAAGAAAAGGUAUCCCCUAAUACGGGAUACUGCUGACGGUAUCUGCAGAAUAAGCACCGGCUAACUACGUGCCAGCAGCCGCGGUAAUACGUAGGGUGCAAGCGUUAAUCGGAAUUACUGGCGUAAAGGUGUGUAGGCGGUUCGGAAAGAAAGAUGUGAAAUCCCAGGGCUCAACCUUGGAACUGCAUUUUUAACUGCCGAGCUAGAGUAUGUCAGAGGGGGGUAGAAUUCCACGUGAGCAGUGAAAUGCGUAGAUAUGUGGAGGAAUACCGAUGGCGAAGGCAGCCCCCUGGGAUAAUACUGACG